GCGGCGCGGCCUCUUGCUCCGGGGCGACCGAGGACGGUGGAGCCCUCGGCGCCUGCGGGAGCCCCGUGCCCGGACCCAGGCCGGCGAUGAGGGCACUUCCCCGGCGUGCGCCGGCAGGCCCGAGCCUCUGCCGGGGCCAGGCGGGCACUGAAGGCAGAAGUAGGGGGCUGAGCCUUGAGGAGACCUGAAGUUAAGGCUGCAGCUGACAGUGAAGAGGUGUGUGAUGUGGGCAGUUGUCUGGUUUGCUCCACCAUGCCUGAAUCUCUAGCAAAUAGUGGGCACUGAAGGCAGAAGUGGGUUGAGCCUUUGGGAGACCUGAAGUUAAAGCUGCAGCUGACAUUGCAGAGGUGUGGAUGAGGACAUAGUCUGGUUUACUCCAACAUGUGUGCCCCUUUGUCAGGGGAGAAUGGUUAAGAUUUAUAAAGAUUUGUCCUGGGUCCUGCUGGAGUUUGAGUGUUCUGCUUAAGAAGAUGGAUGGUUCUGCUGCUCCCAUGCUGCUGCCUGGGAUACUCAUUCAAACCACAGCACUCCCAUACCCUGCAAUAGCUCUGACCUCGAAGCUGUCAGGAGUGAUGAAUUUGUGUAUUGCCAGCUUAGGUGGAGGGUGUAACAUUUUCUGUUCCCUGAGUACAAGGCAUGUAACUGGAAUGGGUUCUGGAAGUUGCUGCAUGUUUAAUGCAGUUAGGAGCUUUUGUCUGCAGGGGCUGCAUUCCCUGCCUGGCAGCUCAUAUUGUCCUGCCACAGUCAUGCAAGGCAAGGAAGCCUUUCCUGGGAGCAGCUGUUAGGUAUUGGGAGGAUGGCCUUGUGUGAAAGGGAGUCAGGACUUGGUUCUCCCCUGCCAUCCAGAAAGCUGCAGUGGUGUAUCCGUGGCAGCCUGUGAAGUGGGCAAGGGGUGUCUGGGAUGCUGCAGCACAGUGUUUCUGUACUGUUGGAAGCCUGGUUUUAAUAAAAUCUUGAGUAAUGGG
This is a long non-coding RNA of Haemorhous mexicanus (house finch), 965 nucleotides long. RefSeq lists it as uncharacterized. The record is from RefSeq and is a predicted model, not a curated record. The transcript is spliced from 5 exons. NCBI's taxonomy places the organism in Eukaryota, Metazoa, Chordata, Aves, Passeriformes, Fringillidae.